CACCUCCAGCAUGCUCAGUAUUGGAGGCACUGCCUGCCCAGUGACGCUAGUUCAACGGCCGCGGUAUCCUGACCGUGCAAAGGUAGCAUAAUCAUUUGUUCUCUAAAUAAGGACUUGUAUGAAUGGCCACACGAGGGUUUAACUGUCUCUUACUUCCAAUCAGUGAAAUUGACCUUCCCGUGAAGAGGCGGGAAUAGACCAAUAAGACGAGAAGACCCUAUGGAGCUUCAAUUAACUAACCCACAAUAACCUAUUACGACACCAACAGGAUUAACAUGACUUUAUUGACAUGGGUUAGCAAUUUAGGUUGGGGCGACCUCGGAGAACAAAACAACCUCCGAGUGAUUCAAUCACAGACAAACCCGUCGAAGUAUUAUAUCACUUAUUGAUCCAACAGCUUGAUCAACGGAACAAGUUACCCUAGGGAUAACAGCGCAAUCCUAUUUAAGAGUCCAUAUCAACAAUAGGGUUUACGACCUCGAUGUUGGAUCAGGACAUCCUAAUGGUGCAGCAGCUAUUAAGGGUUCGUUUGUUCAACGAUUAAAGUCCU
RNAcentral lists this ribosomal RNA (550 nucleotides) under Aonyx cinereus (Asian small-clawed otter). Its description in RNAcentral is "partial large subunit ribosomal RNA". It matches the Rfam family "Bacterial large subunit ribosomal RNA", at positions 1817 to 2597 of the family's 2925-position model. The record is from RNAcentral. Lineage: Eukaryota; Metazoa; Chordata; Mammalia; Carnivora; Mustelidae.